UACAGAGGGUCCAAGCGUUGUCCGGAAUCACUGGGCGUAAAGGGCGCGUAGGCGGCCCGGUAAGUAGGGGGUGAAAUCUCACGGCUCAACUGUGAGGCUGCCUUCUAGACUGCCAGGCUCGAGCACAGUAGAGGCUGGUGGAAUUCCCGGUGUAGCGGUGGAAUGCGUAGAGAUCGGGAAGAACAUCUGUGGCGAAGGCGGCCAGCUGGGCUGUUGCUGACGCUGAUGCGCGACAGCGUGGGGAGCAAACAGG
This 253-nucleotide ribosomal RNA is filed under the name uncultured bacterium. RNAcentral describes it as "partial 16S ribosomal RNA". It matches the Rfam family "Bacterial small subunit ribosomal RNA", at positions 524 to 776 of the family's 1533-position model. The record is from RNAcentral.